This 539-nucleotide ribosomal RNA is filed under the name Yamadazyma oceani. Its description in RNAcentral is "eukaryotic LSU rRNA". It matches the Rfam family "Eukaryotic large subunit ribosomal RNA", at positions 62 to 655 of the family's 3401-position model. The record is from RNAcentral. Lineage: Eukaryota; Fungi; Ascomycota; Pichiomycetes; Serinales; Debaryomycetaceae.
AAACCAACAGGGAUUGCCUCAGUAGCGGCGAGUGAAGCGGCAAUAGCUCAAAUUUGAAAUCUGGCACCUUUGGUGUCCGAGUUGUAAUUUGAAGAAGGUAUCUUUGGGUUUGGCGCUUGUCUAUGUUUCUUGGAACAGGACGUCAUAGAGGGUGAGAAUCCCGUGUGAUGAGCUGCCCAAAUCCGUGUAAAGUUCCUUCGACGAGUCGAGUUGUUUGGGAAUGCAGCUCUAAGUGGGUGGUAAAUUCCAUCUAAAGCUAAAUAUUGGCGAGAGACCGAUAGCGAACAAGUACUGUGAAGGAAAGAUGAAAAGAACUUUGAAAAGAGAGUGAAAAAGUACGUGAAAUUGUUGAAAGGGAAGGGCUUGAGGUCAGACUUGGUUUUACCAGGCCAGCAUCAGUUUGGGUGGUAGGAGAAUGGCGAAGGAAUGUGGCUCGGCUUCGGUCAAGUGUUAUAGCCUUUGUUGAUACUGCCUACCUAGACUGAGGACUGCGUCUUUUGACAAGGAUGCUGGCAUAAUGGCCUUAAGCCACCCGUCUU